RNAcentral lists this ribosomal RNA (253 nucleotides) under uncultured bacterium. Its description in RNAcentral is "partial 16S ribosomal RNA". It matches the Rfam family "Bacterial small subunit ribosomal RNA", at positions 524 to 776 of the family's 1533-position model. The record is from RNAcentral.
UACGAAGGGUGCAAACGUUGCUUGGAAUCAUUGGGCGUAAAGCGCACGUAGGCGGCCUUGCAAGUCGGAUGUGAAAUCCCACGGCUCAACCGUGGACGUGCAUCCGAAACUGCUCGGCUCGAGUAUGGAAGAGGGUCGCGGAAUUCCCGGUGUAGAGGUGAAAUUCGUAGAUAUCGGGAGGAACACCAGUGGCGAAGGCGGCGACCUGGGCCAAUACUGACGCUGAGGUGCGAAAGCGUGGGGAGCAAACAGG